GCCUGGCUAGCUCAAUCGGUAGAGCGUCAGACUCUUAAUCUGAAGGUUGGGGGUUCGACCCCCCCGUUAGGCU
Molecule: transfer RNA, 73 nt
Filed under: Mrakia frigida
Lineage: Eukaryota; Fungi; Basidiomycota; Tremellomycetes; Cystofilobasidiales; Mrakiaceae
Description: tRNA-Lys (CTT) (tRNA-Lys-CTT-2-1)
Rfam family: tRNA
About the family: Transfer RNA (tRNA) molecules are approximately 80 nucleotides in length. Their secondary structure includes four short double-helical elements and three loops (D, anti-codon, and T loops).
Source: RNAcentral